Carnobacterium sp. is the source of this 73-nucleotide transfer RNA. It matches the Rfam family "tRNA". Rfam says of the family: Transfer RNA (tRNA) molecules are approximately 80 nucleotides in length. The record is from Rfam. Lineage: Bacteria; Bacillati; Bacillota; Bacilli; Lactobacillales; Carnobacteriaceae.
CGCGGGGUGGAGCAGUUGGCAGCUCGUCGGGCUCAUAACCCGAAGGUCACAGGUUCAAAUCCUGUCCCCGCAA